This 468-nucleotide ribosomal RNA is filed under the name uncultured bacterium. RNAcentral's name for it is "partial 16S ribosomal RNA". It matches the Rfam family "Bacterial small subunit ribosomal RNA", at positions 28 to 507 of the family's 1533-position model. The record is from RNAcentral.
GACGAACGCUGGCGGCGUGCUUAACACAUGCAAGUCGAACGGAAAGGCCCUGCUUUUGUGGGGUGCUCGAGUGGCGAACGGGUGAGUAACACGUGAGUAACCUGCCCUUGACUUUGGGAUAACUCCAGGAAACUGGGGCUAAUACCGGAUAGGAGCUCCUGCUGCAUGGUGGGGGUUGGAAAGUUUCGGCGGUUGGGGAUGGACUCGCGGCUUAUCAGCUUGUUGGUGGGGUAGUGGCUUACCAAGGCUUUGACGGGUAGCCGGCCUGAGAGGGUGACCGGCCACAUUGGGACUGAGAUACGGCCCAGACUCCUACGGGAGGCAGCAGUGGGGAAUAGUGCACAAUGGGCGGAAGCCUGAUGCAGCAACGCCGCGUGCGGGAUGACGGCCUUCGGGUUGUAAACCGCUUUCGCCUGUGACGAAGCGUGAGUGACGGUAAUGGGUAAAGAAGCACCGGCUAACUACGUG